CACUAAGAAGCUUAUAUAGCACUAGCCUUUUAAGCUAGAGACGGAACAGCCACUUCCCUUGGUGA
RNAcentral lists this transfer RNA (65 nucleotides) under Rhineura floridana. RNAcentral describes it as "tRNA-Lys". It matches the Rfam family "tRNA". From Rfam's summary of the family: Transfer RNA (tRNA) molecules are approximately 80 nucleotides in length. Their secondary structure includes four short double-helical elements and three loops (D, anti-codon, and T loops). Lineage: Eukaryota; Metazoa; Chordata; Lepidosauria; Squamata; Rhineuridae. The record is from RNAcentral.